RNAcentral lists this non-coding RNA (29 nucleotides) under Homo sapiens (human). The record is from RNAcentral. Lineage: Eukaryota; Metazoa; Chordata; Mammalia; Primates; Hominidae.
UGCUGAUGGAUGUGCAGUUGUUCUAGUCU